UGUUGGUUCUCCCGCGAUGCUAACUUGUUAACUUGGUCAGGUCUGGAAAGAAGCAGCCAUAGCAAGGGGUGUAUUGUGCAGGGAUGUCGCUGACAGGA
This 98-nucleotide signal recognition particle RNA is filed under the name Arsenophonus endosymbiont of Trialeurodes vaporariorum. RNAcentral describes it as "Bacteria_small_SRP". It matches the Rfam family "Bacterial small signal recognition particle RNA". From Rfam's summary of the family: The signal recognition particle (SRP) is a universally conserved ribonucleoprotein involved in the co-translational targeting of proteins to membranes. Archaeal SRP consists of a 7S RNA and homologues of the eukaryotic SRP19 and SRP54 proteins. The record is from RNAcentral. Lineage: Bacteria; Pseudomonadati; Pseudomonadota; Gammaproteobacteria; Enterobacterales; Morganellaceae.